Molecule: long non-coding RNA, 11452 nt
Organism: Gorilla gorilla gorilla (western lowland gorilla)
Lineage: Eukaryota; Metazoa; Chordata; Mammalia; Primates; Hominidae
Exons: 3
Source: RefSeq, a predicted model, not a curated record
CAGAGCUUGACGCUUCCUUAAGCUACAGCCAUGCAUUGACCGACCAGCCUCUGGUGUGGUCGGAGCACGGCAGUCGUCUUUUCCUGUUGCGCCUUGGUUCCUCUGCAAGAUCAGUCGAGUUGGAUGAUCUGGAUCUUGCUGACUCGUCCAUUGGUCUUGAACUGAGGCUGCAGGUUUUAGUUGACUGUGGUGGUGUAAUACCUGCGACUUUAACAGCAGUAGGGGUAGACAUGAUCACAAUAUGGGGGCCAUCCCAUAAGGGCCCCAAGGGUGGUAGGAUUCCAGCAUUUAACCCAUACAGAGUCCCCAGGUUGAAAAGGAUGUAUUGUAUCUGUAAGGCUAACAGGUAUUCUUUCUCUUACCCACCUUUGUACUUCUUGCAUUACCUCACCUAAUGCCUGCAUUUAUCUUCUUAGGGUCGGUUCUCCAAUUUCCUUUCAAUCUCCUUUUAACUGAGAUAUAAGUGGGGGUGGUGGGCCAUACACUAUCUCAUAGGGUGGAUACCCGGUUAAUUUGUAGGGGUACACCUGACUCGGAGAAGGACCAUGGGCAAUACCUGGUCCCACCUUAAAUGAGUCUCUUGGCAAAACUUCUUCAACAGUUGUUUCAGUCCAGUUCUCCCUUUCAACCUUUCAAGAAUUUUGUGGGCGAUAGGCUGCAUGCAGUUUCCAUUUAAUUUUUAACAUCUGAGUUAGUUGCUGUACUACUUCUGCCACAAAAGCUGGUCCAUUGUCUGAGCCUAAGGUUAGAGGCAGUUCAAAUCUAGGAAUAAUGUCUUUUAAUAAUAUCCUGCUUACUUCUCAUGGCUUUUCUGUCCUGGUGGGGAAUGAUUCGACACACCCUGAAAAGGUGCAGACAAACACUAACAUGUAACGAUAGCCCCCAGCCUGAGACAGUUCGGUAAAGUCUACAAGUAGGUUUACACAUGGCACUGGCCCUGUUUCCUGAAUUCCUGGGGGCCAAGUAGGUCCUUGCCUUGGGUUAUUCUGGGCGCAAGUAACACACUGCUCGCAGACAGCUCGAGUGAUGGCAGUUAGGCGUGGCACAUAGAAAUACUGCCCUACGAGAAUCUCUAAAGCUGUCUUCCCCAUGUGUGUUCCUUGGUGAAACUGCUUUAUAAAUCAGGGGGCAGUGGCUUCUGGAAUGGCAAGCGUCCCAUCUGAAAACUUCCACCAGCCUCCUUUCUGAUAACUCCCGUUUUCCUGCAUGAACCACGCCUUCUUGUUGGACAAGUAGUUAGGAGCAUCUGCAAGGCGAGGCUCUAAUAAGGGCAUGGCAUAAGUCUCUUCUUUAUUUGUUUUUUUCUGUCAUUGCAGCCUUUUUUGCUUCCUUGUCUGCUUUUCUGUUUCCUGUAGCCUUAUCACUUCCUCCUGUUUGAUGUCCUUUACAGUGGAUGACUGCUACUUCCUUUGGAGUCCAUAUAGCCUCUAGGAGCUGCUCUAUUUUCUUUUUGUUCUUUAUUUCUUUUCCUUCAGUAGUUAACAGUCCUCUUUCUUUGUAAAUAGCGCCAUGAGCAUGCAAGGUUGCAAAAGCAUAUCUUGAGUCAGUAUAGAUAUUCACUGACCUUCCCUUCGCUAGAAAUAGUGCUCUUAGUGAGAGCUAUUAGUUCUGCCUUCUGCGUUGAGGUUCCUACCGGUAGGGUGUGGGCUUCAGCUACUGAGCUUAAUGUGACUAUGGCACAUCUGGCCUUUCUGAUACCCUCAGAUAUGAAGCUGCUUCCAUUAGUAAAAUAUUCAACAUCUGGGUCUUUUAAGGGUUGAUCCUUUAAGUCUUCCUGGCUUGAAAAGACUUCAUCCACUGUUUCUACACAGCAGUGGUACCCUGGGGCACAUAACAGGGGCUUUCCACAUUCUGCACAUUCUAUUCGUAACAGUGUGGAUGGAUUUAGGGUAUUCACAGUCUCUAAGGUGAUAUGGAUUCUCACAUAGGAGUCCUUGGUAUCUUAGCAUCCUAGGGUUAGAGAGUCAACGAUGUCCUCUUUGUUCCAUCAAGGUGACAACUGUGUGGGGCACACGAAUUAUCAACUUCUGUCCAAAUGUGAGCUUGUUAGCAUCUUCGGCUAACAAGGCAGUGGCAGCCAGCGCCUUGAAACAGGGUGGCCAUCCCAUAGCCACCAAGUCCAGUUGCUUGGACAAAUACGCUACAGGCCAAUACCAUGACUCUAGUGUUUGCACUAAGACUCCCGUAGCCAUACCUUUUCUUUCAUGAACAUACAAGUAAAAGGGCUUUGUCAUGUCUGGCAGUCCUAGUGCUGGGGCCCAGGUUAAAGCUUUCUUGAUUUCCUUGAAAGCCAUGUCCUGUUCUUUUCCCCAAAGGAGGGGCUCUUUUUCUCCCACUUUGGUUGCCUCAUAUAAAGGCUUUGCUAGGAGCGAGUAGUUAGGAAUCCAUAUGCGGCAAAAACCAGCUGCCCCUAGGAAUUCCCACGCUUGCCGCCUUGUGUCUGGCUGAGGAAUGCUACAGACAAUCUCUUUUCGCUCCUGUCCAAGCUCACACCGCCCUUGAGAGACGUAAAAGCCAAGAUACCAAACUCCUUGGCCACAGAUCUGUGCCUUUUCCUUAGAUACUUUAUAGCCAGCUUCCCACAGCACUCGAAGGAGACUGUGUUCCUUGGAUACAUUCCUUUGUUGUGGGUGCAGCUUACAGCAGAUCAUCUGUAUAUUGCAGUAAGACACAACGAUUGCUUGGUGGUGUGAAAGCCUUUAAGUCUGAGGCUAGUGCUUCUUCAAAGAUAGUUGGGACCCCAUCUCUACUAAAAAUACAAAAAAUUAGCUGGGCGUCGUGGCAGGCGCCUGUAAUCCCAGCUACUCGGGAGGCUGAGGCAGGAGAAUGGCAUGAACCCAGGAGGCAGAGCUUGCAGUGAGCCGAGAUUGCGCCACUGCACUCCAGCCUGGGCGACAGAGCGAGACUCUGUCUCAAAACAAAACAAAACAAAACAAAACAAAGAAACAAAAAAAAGAUAGUUGGGGAGUUUUUAAAUCCUUGGGGAAGUCUAGACCUUGGGAAAGUCUAGACCAGGUAUACUGAGAUGGGCCUCACUCAAAGGCAAAAAUGUCUCAGCUUACAGGGGCUAACAGGAUGCAAAAGAAUGCAUCUUUAAUGUCCAAGCAUGUGAACCAAGCAGCACUAGCAGGUAUUUGUCCAAGCACAGUGUACGGGUUAGGCACAAUAGCAUGCAGUAUAGCAGCUACCUGGUUGACUGCCCUUAAAUCUUGUACAGGCUGGUAGUCACCAGAAGGUUUUAACACUGGCAAUAGGGGAGUAUUUCAUGAGGAGACACAUCUGGCUAUUAUUCCAAAUUCAAGGAGCCAUUUUAAGUGCUUGGCAAUCCCUUGGUUAGCCUCUAUGGGAAUGGAAUACUGAUGGAUCCGCACCAGGCAGGUUCCUCAUAGUACCUCUACUAUAACAGGUGCUUGAUUUACAGGGGGAUUGUCCUCCGCCCAGACUCCUGGUAACUUAAGGAGUAAGUCUGUGAACAGUUUUUCUUUCUCAGCUAUGCUGUACUCCUUUCCACACUCCCGGCAACUACAUUCAUAAAGUCUCCACUCCUCUGCAUUGGGUACUGUAAGAGUUAGUACCAUAGCCUUUUUUUUUACCUAGGCUCAAGGUCAUAUCUCUGCUUGGUGUGAAGGAGAUUUGAGCCUGCAUCUUCUGCAGCAAGUCUCUCCUCAACAAGGGCCCCAGGCAGUUCGGCAAGUAUAAGAACUUGUGUUGGACUUCUUGGUCUCCAAUCAUACAUCUCUUUGAUUUGAAAAAUAAUGUUUUUUCUGUGAUACCUGUGGCCCCAAUAAUAUUAGCAGUCUUUUGAUAAUGACCCAAUUGUUUGAGUCACAACCGAGUGUUCAGCACCUGUGUCUACCAUAAAGUCUGUUUUUCAGCCCCCUACUACCGUUGAGACCAUGGGCUCCUCGGGGCCUAAUGAGAUGGAGCCCGGUCUGUCUCAGUCUUCAAGGUAGCCGUUGGCGCCUGCCAGCCCAAUUAGAUCCAUGUCAGAUCCUACUACACCUUGCGCAGCAGGGGAAGGAGGCCUUGUCCAGCCAUUCUGUCCCUGGUUGUUGCCUUUAUCCUUUUCUUUCUCUGGACAUUCAUCUUUCCAAUGCUGUCUUUGCUUGCAUCUCGCACAUUGAUCUCUCUCUAGUCUAGGCUGACCUUCCUGACCUGUCUUGGUCUCCUCACCUGGCCUAGCUUGUCCUCUAUCAUGACUGCAUCUAUGGCCACAUCCACGUCCUCUUGCAAAUCCAGCCUCUCUUUCAACCAGGGCUGCAGCUAAGAACUCUGCCUUUUCCUUCACUCUAUGCUUGGCCUCCUGCUUUACUUCUUCAUCUCGAUUUACAAACACUUUGGUUGCCACCUGGAUAAGCUGGGAAAUGUUCAUACCUUCAAACCCCUCCAGCUUCUACAACUUUCACUUAAUGUCAUUUUGUGCCUGACUUACAAAUGCCGCAUUAACCAUGCACCGAUUCCCUGCCGCUUCUGGGUCAAAAGGUGUGUAGAGCCGGUAAGCCUCACACAGCCUCUCAUAGAACUCACUGGGGCUUUCAUCUGGUUUCUGACAGACUUCUGAAACCUUUCCAGUGUUUGUUGCCUUCUUCCCUUCAGCCUUUAUUCCUUGUAUUAGAGCCUCUUGGUAUCUCAGCAAGUUCAGCAGAUCUUGGGCCUGAUUUGGGUCCCAGCCUGGGUCAGUUUCUAUUGGCAAAGCCUGCCGAGCACACUGUCUGACAUCUCCUGUACCUACUGGGGCAUUGCUUUCUAGUCUCUGAUGAGCUGCUUGUAUUACUCUGUGGUGUUCUUCUGUAUUGAACAGUGACAGAAGGAGCUGUUUGCAGUCAGCCCAGGUUGGGUUGUGAGUUAAGAUGGACUGCAUUAGGUCGAUAAGAGCCUGGGGUUUUUCCAUAUAGGAGAGAGUAUGCUCUUCCAGUUGAAAAUGUCUGUAGUAGAGAAGGGCUGAUAAACAAAGCCAUUCUCCUCCUUGAACCUCAUUUUGUGCAUCUAAAUAGAUCUGUCGCCUAGUUUCUCUGAGGGGCAUCUGCAUGUCUCGGCCGCGUCCUGAUCGGAGAUGGCCAACCUCAUCCUGGAGUUCCUCCUUUGAUUUAUCAGGCAGUGGCCCUGGCUCUUCCCUACAUAGUGAAGUUUGGGGGGUACUCUUCUCUGAGUCUGACCUUCCGGAGACAGCUGCUGGAGUGUCUCCCUAAGUCUUGUCAGAGAUAGGUAAAUAGGAACAUAAGGGGGUGGAGUCUCUAGCUCUUCUGGUGGGGCCUGUAGGACAGGUUUUUCCUGUUUUCCUUGCUACUGUUUCUCCUGGGCCUGGCUUUUUGGGUCUUUUCUAUGGUUCCUUGUUUUGUACAAGCCACUAGAGUCUUAAAUAAUUUUCAAAACAGGCCUGUAGCCAUUUCGGAUGGGUUUGAAUCAUGCUCAGCCAGGAGUCUGUGUAUGGAAACUGCUCAGGGUGCCCAGGCUGUUCUCCGAUCCCAGUGACCACCUGAAACACUCAGCCAAUUAUUUCCCAAUCUAAGGUUCCCUCGGCCAGCCACCCUACAUUAAAGGAGAGCCAGUCAAUUUCACAAAGGGUUCUUAGCCACUACGGUGUUAACUUCAUUCCAUAAUCACCAUAAAAGUCUUUCUUGAAGUUCUUCAAUAUACAUUCUAAUUGAGUUGGCUUCGAUGCUUUUCCUCCCAUUUCCUCCCUCACGGUGCACUUUCACUCUCACUUUCACUCUCGGAUUCACCAGACUGGGUCCUAUUACGGGAGGCUCGGACACUGCUUGGCCAGGUCACAGCCAACUACUGCUGUGAAGCUAUGAAGCUAAUCCUGUCAGCCUUACACAGUGACCUAGGUCUGGCUCAUCCCACGCUUGCCUCGGAGGACACAGUCUGCGCUAAGAGAUCUGCACCUCCCAGCUGGGCAUGGUGAUUCAUGCCUGUAAUACCAGCACUUUGGGAGGCUGAGGCAGGCGGAUCACGAGGUCAGGAGAUUGAGAUCAUCCUGGCUAACAUGGUGAAACCCCGUCUCUACUAAAAAUACAAAAACAAAAUUAGCCGGGCGUGGUGGCGGGCGCCUGUAGUCCCAGCUACUUGGGAGGCUGAGGUGGAAGAAUGGCAUGAACCCAGGAGGCGGAGCUUGCAGUGAGCCGAGAUCGCACCACUGCACUGCAGCCUGGGCAACACAGUGAGACUCCAUCUCAAAAAAAAAAAAAAAAAAAAGAUCUGCACCUCCCCAUGUCACUCCCCGCAUUGGCCUCUCCCGAGACCAUCUCUUUCACACACUUUCACUCCUCAUUGGAUGAAACAAGCCUUUCUCAUGUCCCAGGUAGGUUCACACGCACCCACCCACACACUCCCAGUUUCUGCUUCCAGAUCCAGUGAACCACUUUCACUUGUUAGUGGGGACAUGGGGUUCAUCCAAAUUGGCAGUCCACUCCUGCCACCCCCAGCCACUCUGGGUUGAAUAAGUGGUUGUUCCCUGGGAGGUGAUCAAGCUCCCCUUCCGUCCUUAUGGGAUGGGCUUUUCCAGGGCCCAACCUUACCAUGGUUCAGUAGUCUGCCUGCACGCUGCUCCUGUGACUGUCCUGCAACUCCUGAGUAGGUUCUGUUUGCACUGUCAGGGAAAGGCUCCAAGACACAGGAGAGCUGUUCUCCUUCUGGGCUAAGUCUUACCCAGUGGUGCCAAGGGUCUCAAAUCUCCUGCAUCCUGGGGCUGUAGCCCACAGGCAAAGGAUAUAGAAAUCUGCCAUCUCCAAUCCUGGACGAGCCCCCAGAAAUGUUGUGGGACAAUCAGAGACGGGAGAGACCAAACAGAGUUCAGGAAAGCCUUUAUUAAGGUGAUCACCUGGCUCAGUAGGGCUAGCGUCCAGGAAAGUCUGAGCCCCGGACAAAGAAAGCAGCCACCUUUUAAGCAGUCAGUGGCUGAGAGCUACGUGAUGCAGGAAGCGUACUUACAGAAGUGAGAACAAAGGCAGUUGAUCAGUCUUUUACAUUUAUGUAUACUACAUGUUCUAUAUCCUUGGGAAACUGUUUCUGUAACAUAUGCUUAUCAACCUUGUAACUUUGCAGCUGCGCUAGGGAGGUAAAGCAGGAACUCGCUGAGCCUCAAGGAAUGUGAAACUGGUGAGUACAGAUAAGGCUUGCUGAGCACAGAAGGAAAAACAGGCAGUUAGGAUUCUUCUCUAACUUAGACUAUGACUACGUGGGGUGGGGGGCUACAGUACACUUAGCUUUUGAAGGAAAAAGUAAAAAUGUCUUGCUGGUCUUUGAUUAUACUUUUAAAAUUCAGGAAUUCCUUCUUCACUACUGCUGCAAAACCUUGGUGUGGAUAUCUACUUUUACUGCACCAGGGAAUUGGACCCCAUUCUGGUUCAAUAACAGUUUCUUCAUUUCAGGUUGACAGUAGCCUUUCACCAGCUGCCCCAUCUGGUUGGUGUUCAGUUAUGGGCCCAUAUGGGGCUAUGGGUCAUUCCAUUAUGGUCACUGAAGCCCCAGCCCCUCAGGUCCAGCAACUCCCUUUGGUACUUCUGGGCCAAGUUUGAGGACAUGGAAGUGAUUCUGCUUCAGCUGUGCCACACUGGGGCUUGGAAAUCCCUGCAAGGCUAAGUUCGUAUCCAGAGUUACUACUGAAGCAGUUAUGUUGUCUUGGGUAAAUACCCGGGGUUGGUCAUCUCAGGCCAGGAAAUUUAGGACAUGGGCACACAUGAGUUUAGGAGCAGAGGUUUAAUAAGCAAAAGAAAGAGAAAGGAAAACAGCUCUCUCUCUAGUGAGAGUGAGGGGACUUCUGAGAGGAAAAAACCAGCUGGCAGCGGAUGCACUAGAUUUUAUAGUCAGGUUUGAGGAGCUGAUGUCUGAUUUACGUAGUGCUCACAGAUUGGUUUGAUCAGGUAUGAUGUUUAUAAAGUGUGGGGGAAGGCUGGCCGCCCCACCCUAAUCUUGUUAUGCAAAUGAGCUUUCCCCUUGGCCAGCACCAUCUUAUCUGCUCCUUAUUGUACACGUGACUGGCAGAAAAGGGAAAAUGGAGCCGCCAUCUUUAACAUGAUUGGCUUAACUGCCAGCACCUAUGUCUUCAACUCGAUUUUACAGGCUGCUGUUUGUUAGAAAGGAAAAUAAUUUGGGGCUGUUUUUCAUUAAAAGAAAAACCUUACCAAGGACUUCCCUACCCUCACUAUCUACCUAUAUCAUUACAAAGUUCUUGACUUGACUCCUAUAUCAUUACAAAGUCAUGGCCCUAUAUCAUUGACUCCUAUAUCAUUAUAAAGUCCUUGACUCCUAUAUCAUUACAAAAUCAUGGCCCAUUCCCUUCUCACCUCCCAAGUAGGCUUUUGUGUGGUGGUAAAAGCCUUAUCUCAAAUAUUUCAGUUAUGUUCAGAGUUCUUUCUCUUUUUCUAAGGAACAUAUAUAAUAAACCAUUUCUUUUUCUUUUCGUUUCUUUUCUUUUUAAUAUAGGCUCUUGCUCUUGCUCUGUCACCCAAGCUGGAGGGCAUAACCCCCACGUGUCAUGGGAGGUGGGAGGUAAUUGAAUCAUGGGGAUGGUUACCUCCAUGCUGUUCUCGUGAUGUGAGUUCGUUCUCAUGAGAUCUGAUGGUUUUAUAAGGGGCUUUAACCCAUUUUGCACUGCACUUCUUGCUGCUAACAUGUGAAGGACAUGUUUGCUUCCCCUUCCACCAUGAUUGUAAGUUUCCCGAGGUGUCCCCAGCCAUGCUGAACUGUGAGUCAAUUAAACCUCUUUCCUUUAUAAAUUACCCAGUCUUGGGUAUGUCUUUAUUGGAAGCAUGAGAACAGACUAAUACAGUAAAUUGGUACUGCCAGUGGGGUGCUGCUAUAAACAUACUCAGAAAUGUGCAAGCGACUUUGUAACUGGGUGACAGGCAGAGGUUGGAACAGUUUGAAGGGCUUAGAAGAUGAUAUGAAAAUGUUGGAAAGUCUGGAACUUCCUAGAGACUUGGAGGGCUCAGAAGAGAGGAAGAUGUGGAAAAGUUUAGAACUUCCUAGAGACUUGUUGAAUGGCUUUGAUCAAAAUGCUGAUAGUGAUAUGGACAAUAAAGUCCAAGCUGAGGUGGUCUCAGAUAGAGAUGAGAAACUCAUUGGAAACUGGAGCAAAGGUCACUCUUGCUAUGCAAAGGGACUGGCAGCAUUUCGCCCCUGCCCUAGAGAUCUAUAGAAAUUUGAACUUGAGAGAGAUGAUUUAGUGUAUCUGAUAGAAGAAAUUUCUUUUUUUUUUUUUCUUUUUUUGAGACAGAGUCUUGCACUGUUGCCCAGGCUGGAGUGCAGUGGCGUGAUCUCGGCUAACUGCAAGCUCUGCCUCUUGGAUUCAUGCCAUUCUCCUGCCUCAGCCUCCUGAGUAGCUGGGAUUACAGGCACCUACCACCAUGCCCUGCUAAUUUUUUUGUACUUCUAGUAGAGAAGGGGUUUCACCAUGUUAGCCAGCAUGGUCUCGGUCUCCUGACCUCGUGAUCCACCUGCCUCAACCUCCCAAAGUGCUGGGAUUACAGGCGUGAGCCACCGCACCCAGCCUCUGACAGAAGAAAUUUCUAAGCAACAAAGCGUUCAAGAGGAAGCAGAGCAGAAAAGUUUGGAAAAUUUGCAGCCUGAUUAUGCAAUAGAAAAGAAACCCCAUUUUCUGGGGAGAAAUUCAAGCCUGCUGCAGAAAUUUGCAAAAGUAAUAAGAAGCUGAAUGUUUUUUUUUUUUUUUUUUUUUAGGCGGAGUCUCGCUCUGUCGCCCAGGCUGGAGUGCAGUGGCGCGAUCUCGGCUCACUGCAAGCUCCGCCUCCUGGGUUCACGCCAUUCUCCUGCCUCAGCCUCCCGAGUAGCUGGGACUACAGGCGCCCGCCACCACGCCCGGCUAAUUUUUAGUAUUUUUAGUAGAGACGGGGUUUCACCGUGUUAGCCAGGAUGGUCUCGAUCUCCUGACCUCGUGAUCCACCCGCCUCGGCCUCCCAAAGUGCUGGGAUUACAGGCGUGAGCCACCGCGCCCGGCCCGAAGCUGAAUGUUAAUCUCCAAGACAAUGUGGAAAAUGUCUCCAGGGCAUGUCAGAGACCUUCGCAACAGCCCCUCCCAUCACAGGUUCAGAGGCAGAAGGGACUUGACUUGUCUCAGAUGAGACUUUGGACUUGGACUUUUGAGUUAAUGCUGGAAUGAGCUAAGACUUUGGGGGACUGUUGUCUCAGGCAAUGAAUGGGAUUGCCUCCUCCAGACCAAGACUAACUUCUCCAACUCUGUCAGCUGACUCAGUUACUCCCUCACCUUCUUUAGAAAGCUGCUCCAUCAACCAUCUUCUCUCCUAUAUGUUCAACCUCUGGCUCCCUACUGAUGAAUAAAACUUUCAUUAGCCUGUCCCCCAAUCCUGCACUCCCUUCCCAAUUAUCAUCCAAUUGUUUUCUCUCCAUCAGAGACAAACAUUUGUUUAGGGACUAUUUCAAACAUACUUAAAAAGUACAGAGAACCAUGUAGUAAACAAAGAUUUAACAGACAUUGACAUUUUGCCAUAUUUCACUAGGGUUUUCCCAUUUAUGGAAAAAAAAUGCAGGCCGGGUACAGUGGCUCAUGCCUGUAAUCCCAGCACUUUGGGAGGUUGAGGAAGGUGGAUCACUUGAGGCCAGGAGUUCAAGACCAGCCUGGCCAACAUAGCAAAACCCUAUCUCUACUAAAAAUACAAAAAUUAGCAGAGAGUGGUGGCAUGCACCUGUAUUCCCAGCUACUCAGAGGCUGAGGCACGCGAAUCACUUGAACCCAGGAGGCAGAGGUUGCAGUGAGCCAAGAUCACGCAGUGGCACUCCAGCCUGGGCAACAGAGCAAGACUCCAUCUUAAAAAAAAAAAAAUUAAAAGUAAAGAAAAAUAAAAGCCUCAGGAACACAAAACUGGAAAUUUGUCUACACAGCUGUUUCUACUUCCAUCCCUCCAUUCCUCAAUCCAUUACAAUGUGGAUUCUGCCCCUACCCUGAAACUUCUCUAGCUAAAAUCGUUCAUGACUUUUAAAAUAUAAGUGCCAAGCUAGCACAGUAGCAUGAACUGGUAGUCCUAGCUACUUGGGAGGCUGAGGGUGGAGGAUCCUUUGACCCCAGGAGUUCAAGUACGGCCUGGGUAACAGAGAAAAACCAGGUGACUUAAAAAAAAAAUGUAGGUGCCACUCAGGGGUUCAAUCCCCAGACCACUGGCAUUUGAAAGCAUGUUACAUAAGCGUUUCAUAUUGCUGGGGUCACCAAAUCAAUUUAGUAUGUCACUAAUGGCAUGAAAAAAAGACAUAAUACAAAGUGCAGAAUGUUUAAUAAAUCUUUUGCUUCAAGUAUAAAUCAUGUGUAUACUGGGUCAUUGCAAAAUGUAUUUCUUAUGUGAAUGGUGGCUAAAACAUUUGAAAGACAUUGAUCUAAAUUAACGGUCUUCAAAAUUUUGUUUGCAUGCAUCAAUUUAUCAUUGUAAGUUUAGUUACAAAGGAUUUCAUGUGGAUUGUAAGCACUAGCAUUGUUAAAUAA